RNAcentral lists this ribosomal RNA (1021 nucleotides) under Vibrio tasmaniensis. RNAcentral describes it as "bacterial SSU rRNA". It matches the Rfam family "Bacterial small subunit ribosomal RNA", at positions 1 to 1007 of the family's 1533-position model. The record is from RNAcentral. Lineage: Bacteria; Pseudomonadati; Pseudomonadota; Gammaproteobacteria; Vibrionales; Vibrionaceae.
UAGANGGUGAUCAUGGCUCAGACUGAACGCUGGCGGCAGGCCUAACACAUGCAAGUCGAGCGGAAACGACACUAACAAUCCUUCGGGUGCGUUAAUGGGCGUCGAGCGGCGGACGGGUGAGUAAUGCCUAGGAAAUUGCCUUGAUGUGGGGGAUAACCAUUGGAAACGAUGGCUAAUACCGCANAAUGCCUACGGGCCAAAGAGGGGGACCUUCGGGCCUCUCGCGUCAAGAUAUGCCUAGGUGGGAUUAGCUAGUUNGUGAGGUAAUGGCUCACCAAGGCGACNAUCCCUAGCUGGUCUGAGAGGAUGAUCAGCCACACUGAACUGAGACACGGUCCACACUCCUACGGGAGGCAGCAGUGGGGAAUAUUGCACAAUGGGCGANAGCCUGAUGCAGCCAUGCCGCGUGUAUNAAGAAUGCCUUCGGGUUGUANNGUACUUUCAGUUNUGAGGAANGGUGUGUANUUNAUAGCUGCACANCUUGACGUUAGCAACAGAAGAAGCACCGGCUAACUCCGUGCCAGCAGCCGCGGUAAUACGGAGGGUGCNAGCGUUGAUCGGAAUUACUGGGCGUAAAGCGCACGCAGGUGGUUCAUUAAGUCAGAUGUGAAAGCCCGGGGCUCAACCUCGGAACUGCAUUUGAAACUGGUGAACUAGAGUGCUGUAGAGGGGGGUAGAAUUUCAGGUGUAGCGGUGAAAUGCGUAGAGAUCUGAAGGAAUACCAGUGGCGAAGGCGGCCCCCUGGACAGACACUGACACUCAGAUGCGAAAGCGUGGGGAGCAAACAGGAUUAGAUACCCUGGUAGUCCACGCCGUAAACGAUGUCUACUUGGAGGUUGUGGCCUUGAGCCGUGGCUUUCGGAGCUAACGCGUUAAGUAGACCGCCUGGGGAGUACGGUCGCAAGNUUAAAACUCAAAUGAAUUGACGGGGGCCCGCACAAGCGGUGGAGCAUGUGGUUUAAUUCGAUGCAACGCGAAGAACCUUACANUACUCUUGANAUCCAGAGAANCCAGCGGAGAA